CAAAUCCAGUUGCUUUGUUUUUUUAACUUUUUUUUGAAUGACCAUGACCUGGAUGACUGAGAAUCUUCACCAAUGAUGAUUUAAAUUGACUGAUCAAAGAUUACUGGUGUAAAAUACUGAAAUAUUUCAGAUGAGUCUCAACAGCUCAUAAACUUAAACAAAGAACUUGAACACUUCAUUAUGAGGGAGAGGCCUCAUCGCCCAGCAGAAGGUUCUGUUUACGCCAAUUUUAAUCCAGGACAGGGGAGUCCUGCAGCAACAUAUGCAGCUGUGUAGGCUGGAGGCUGUGAUGGUUUAUUCUGCUGU
This is a long non-coding RNA of Fundulus heteroclitus (mummichog), 306 nucleotides long. RefSeq lists it as uncharacterized. The transcript is spliced from 3 exons. The record is from RefSeq and is a predicted model, not a curated record. NCBI's taxonomy places the organism in Eukaryota, Metazoa, Chordata, Actinopteri, Cyprinodontiformes, Fundulidae.